RNAcentral lists this transfer RNA (72 nucleotides) under Deltaproteobacteria bacterium. RNAcentral's name for it is "tRNA-Val". It matches the Rfam family "tRNA". Rfam says of the family: Transfer RNA (tRNA) molecules are approximately 80 nucleotides in length. Their secondary structure includes four short double-helical elements and three loops (D, anti-codon, and T loops). Lineage: Bacteria; Pseudomonadati; Myxococcota; Myxococcia. The record is from RNAcentral.
AGGCGUGUAGCUCAGCGGUAGAGCACUACCUUGACACGGUAGUGGUCAGCGGUUCAAUCCCGCUCACGCCUA